RNAcentral lists this ribosomal RNA (487 nucleotides) under uncultured bacterium. RNAcentral describes it as "bacterial SSU rRNA". It matches the Rfam family "Bacterial small subunit ribosomal RNA", at positions 331 to 793 of the family's 1533-position model. The record is from RNAcentral.
CUAUCAUCCUACGGGAGGCAGCAGUGGGGAAUAUUGCACAAUGGGACGCAAGCCUGAUGCAGCCAAUGCCGCGUGUAUAGAAGAAGGCCUUCGGGUUGUAAAAGUACUUUCAGCAGUGAGGAAGGUGGUGUCGGUUAAUAGCGGCAUCAUUUGACGUUAGCUGCAGAAGAAGCACCGGCUAACUCCGUGCCAGCAGCCGCGGGUAAUACGGAGGGUAGCGAGCGUUAAAUCGGAAUUACUGGGCGUAAAGCGCAUGCAGGUGGUUUGUUAAAGGUCAAGAUAGUAGAAAAGACCCCGGGGCUCAAACCUCGGAAUUGCAUUUGAAACUGGCAGACUAGAGUACUGUAGAGGGGGUAGAAUUUCAGGUGUAGCGGUGAAAUGCGUAGAGAUCUGAAGGAAUACCGGUGGUCGAAGGCGGCCCCCUGGACAGAUACUGACACUCAGAUGCGAAAGCGUGGGGAGCAAACAGGAUUAGAUACCCUGGUAG